CAGGCAGAACUGAGAUGCUGAGUGUGACAGAGACAUCUUCCAAAGAGGAAUUUCGGAAGUCUGUUCUGCAGCCGUGACGCUGACAAUGUCCAGUUGGUGAAGAUGGCUAAUUACGGACCACACAGACAGACAGUGAAGACUGCACACUCCACCAAGAGACCAAGAUACAGGCUACAGUUUUUCACAAGGAUAAGAAGAAAGUGUUAUAAAAAUCAGUUAUGGAUUCACCAUGUGACAUGAUGGCCUCCAUCACUCCCCUCCAUUAAUCCCUAUCCUGCAUCCCUGUGCUGCUGUUGUGGAAUCUCAUCCACUACUGCCAUGCCGUGGGUCCACCUUAGUGCCUCAACUCAGGGUGCUGGUUGGAGGGAGCUGGAUGCUGCAGAAGCAAACAUAUGCUGGAGACCUGCCUGUGUAACACAGGACAGGCUGAGAGGGCAAACUGGCUCCCUUUGGACUGCGCAUACUUCUGAGGGGAAUGGAAAAGGUUGGUUGCAAAAGUUUGCUGCAAUUUGGUACAGAGGACUGAUUGGGAUGAGUCACUGAUAAAACUUCAACGUUGUGAGUUGGAACAAAAAUCUCAGUGGAACAGUACAAGAAUCAUUUAAAUGUUUUAAAUUAUAAUUUGUCAUGAAGAAAAAGACAACACUUCAUCCAAAGGCAAUUUUACAGGAGUGAUUGCUCUGACAUGAGCAGCAGACAUAUAAGGGAGGUGCCAUCCCAGGAAAAUGUGUGGAGCCAUUGGCAGGACACGCAAAGGAAGAUAAAAACUAAAAAUCCAAGUGAACUCUGGCAUAACGGUAGACAAUAUUGCAGCUGAUGAUAUUGAAGUUCCCACACUAAUACUUCAGUAGGAAAAGGUGCCAAUAAAGACCUUAUUGAAAAGCACACAAAA
Molecule: long non-coding RNA, 892 nt
Organism: Haemorhous mexicanus (house finch)
Lineage: Eukaryota; Metazoa; Chordata; Aves; Passeriformes; Fringillidae
Exons: 2
Source: RefSeq, a predicted model, not a curated record